UACGAAGGGGGCUAGCGUUGCUCGGAAUCACUGGGCGUAAAGCGCGCGUAGGCGGAUCGUUAAGUCGGGGGUGAAAUCCUGGAGCUCAACUCCAGAACUGCCUUUGAUACUGGCGAUCUUGAGUCCGGGAGAGGUGAGUGGAACUCCGAGUGUAGAGGUGAAAUUCGUAGAUAUUCGGAAGAACACCAGUGGCGAAGGCGGCUCACUGGCCCGGUACUGACGCUGAUGUGCGAAAGCGUGGGGAGCAAACAGG
RNAcentral lists this ribosomal RNA (253 nucleotides) under uncultured bacterium. RNAcentral describes it as "partial 16S ribosomal RNA". It matches the Rfam family "Bacterial small subunit ribosomal RNA", at positions 524 to 776 of the family's 1533-position model. The record is from RNAcentral.